CUGGGGAACUGAAUGACUGAAUAAUACAUUAAGACGAUUUGGAGUGUUUGAGCCUGGUUCCUCAGCAGAUACCUGUGUUACGGCUUCUUGGUAACAGAACCAUUCUGUUCUUAGACCUGGGAAUGAAAUCAUACUGAUUGCAACACUCUGUAGCUGCCCCAGCUAGAUCAGAACUGUUGUUGUUCUAGAAUCACCAGAGUCAAGAGAAUCCUUGACUUGAAGAUUUUAAGGGCUAGAGAGGAGCCCUGUCCUGGUGUCUCAGGGCCAGGCCAAAUCAGCCUAACUGUUAAUAUGAAAUUUGACCUCUGUAGGACCAGAAGUGUUGUAGUGUCCAUGUGGUUGGAGGGACACAAGCGUUUAUGAUGCAACAACUAAGUAGAGGAUGCAAGAAAUGGCAUUAUUGCUAGGCAACUUGGCUCAUUAACUCUUACGGCUUUGGUCAAGGCGCUACCCUGUGCAAACUAGCCCUCCCCCCUCUUCCCUGACACCCGGGAUGGUUGAUUUUGAUUGUCAACUUGAUUGGCUUGAAAGCACCUAGGAGAUCAGUAAAGCACUCUUUUGGAUGGGUCACAGGAUGCGAUCUUGAGGACUGUGUCUGGUCCCUGCCCCCUUCAACUCCUGCUCUCUUCCUGCUUCCCAACUGCCAGGAGUUGAGCAGCUUUCCUCCGCCACACCACUGAAACCUAUGAAACUGAGCCAAAUAAACCCUUUCUCCUUUAACUUGUCCUGCUCAGGUCCUCUGCGCAGGGAAAGCCGCGGCCGCCGGCCCAGCUCUCAGGGAGGCUGAGAGGAAGAACCUCACUGCAGGAAGAAGAGGCUGCUGCAGAGGUAACAGCGGGGACCACGGCCAGCGCAGGGGGAUGAGCGCGUCCGGAGAUAACGGGCGGACUGCGCCAAGCCCUCUCGGCUGGACCUCCAGCGCUCCGACUCGGGCCUCAGUUAUCGUCCAGGUCCCCCAGCACGGCUCCAAAAGUGACAGCCACGUGGAUCCCCACGCGCGCGAGGCGGGGGAUGGAAGGUUGGAGGGGUGCGGGGCUGGCAGAGCGCCCUAGAGGGUUAACCGGGGCCCGAGUCCGUGCCCGAGCGCCGGCUGCCGGGC
Molecule: long non-coding RNA, 1099 nt
Filed under: Heterocephalus glaber (naked mole-rat)
Lineage: Eukaryota; Metazoa; Chordata; Mammalia; Rodentia; Bathyergidae
Description: lncRNA (ENSHGLG00000037028.1)
Source: RNAcentral